Molecule: small RNA, 183 nt
Filed under: Sphenodon punctatus (tuatara)
Lineage: Eukaryota; Metazoa; Chordata; Lepidosauria; Sphenodontia; Sphenodontidae
Description: TUC338 (ENSSPUG00000013722.1)
Source: RNAcentral
CUGACAGCUCUUGAGAUUGAAGUCUUCUGUUUAUCCACAGAACAGAUACAACAUAGGCAGUGGCAGUACAAGAUUUUUAACACACACGCACCCCUGCCAAUGUGCCUCACCCUUGACCUGAAGGGGCAUCUCUAUAGGUGAGAGGAUAGCUCAGUCUCUGUGUCCUUUCAAUGCUUGGCCUUU